UGUGGUAUUUACAUAUGUGUGUGUGUGACUGCUGCACACACUUUAAGAGCUGUAGUGCUGAUCAGAGUGUGUUCAGUCCUUUCAGAGCCACUGACACGCAGCACAAUGAUGAUGGUACUGAUUCUACUGCUGGGGACACUGGGACUCCUCGCUCACCAGUCCUUUGGGGAAAUCGUCCUGACUCAGUCUCCAGGAUCUCACACUGUUUCUCCAGGAGACACUGUUACUCUCACCUGUAGAACAAGUCAUGAUGUUAGCAGUGACCUCCAGUGGUACCUGCAGAAACCUGGAGAAGCUCCUAAACUUUUGAUCUAUAAUGAUAAUCUCUUCUCAGAGACAAGCUCUCCCAGCUGAAUGUACCUGAUUCCAUGUGCAGCUGGAUGCUGGGAAUGCAUGUAUCUGACUCCCGGAUAUUCUGCACUGGAUCCCCCUAAGAUCCCCCCUGUGUCCUGUCAAACUUU
This is a long non-coding RNA of Silurus meridionalis, 461 nucleotides long. RefSeq lists it as uncharacterized. The record is from RefSeq and is a predicted model, not a curated record. The transcript is spliced from 3 exons. Lineage: Eukaryota; Metazoa; Chordata; Actinopteri; Siluriformes; Siluridae.